This 1244-nucleotide long non-coding RNA is filed under the name Sarcophilus harrisii (Tasmanian devil). RNAcentral describes it as "lncRNA (ENSSHAG00000024887.1)". The record is from RNAcentral. Lineage: Eukaryota; Metazoa; Chordata; Mammalia; Dasyuromorphia; Dasyuridae.
GGGGGCGGCUCCAGGCUCCCUUCUCUGCCCUCCGAGGCAGCGAGCCGGGGGCUUCUGGGUCCCUGUGGAAGGGGCCGUGCCUCUAGCGGCGGCUAGGGGGCGCAGGAGGACCCGAGCGCAAAUCCGACCUCAGACACUUCCCGGCUGUGUGACCCUGGGCAAGUCACUUACCCCAACUGCCUCGGGGGAAAAGUGACGUCCCGGAAGUGCGAGACGCGGUGAGUGCCUGAGGUGUUUCCUGGGUGUCCCGCGCCGAACAGGCUCGCGCGGGCGGGGCCCUUAGCGCUGCCUCUGAAGCCGCGCCAGGAGCUGCGCCCAGCGGGCGGUGGCUGGGGGGGAGGGGGUCUGGAGAGCCGGGACCAGGGCGAAGCAGCUUUCCGGGCCACACAGACGCGUGAGCCUUUCGAAGGAAACGCGGAUCAAUUAUCAGAAGAAAGACCAACCAACCGAGAGCCCCCGCAAGCGACGCCCGCAGAUCUGGCGGAGGACCUCCCCCUUCCCCGCUCUUGCUGAAUUCUGGAGAAAGUCAAGCCCACGGGACCCUUCCGGCCGCACUAGGCGCCGGGUUCAGCACAACGUCACGACAAGCGAAGACUCACAACAGCGACAGACGGAGCGGCGACAAGAUGUCCAAAUGGCCGCUGACACAAGGCAGACCCAUCAGCCCCGACCCGGAACUCUCCCCUGCGUCAGGCGGGCAACGAACGGCCAGAGAAAAGCGGCAGUCAUUUUGGCGGGGCUGUCUCAGAUGAAAACGGAACAAAACGGGCCCGUUUGUUACUACACGAGAGGACUGCGAAUGGAAUGGCAGGCUUGUGUAUUGUCUGGGGGGGGGUGUUAUUGUUAUUAAAUUGUUAUUAAAAUUAAAUUAAUAAAUAUUAAAUUUUAAAAAUUAAAUUGUAUGUUUAACCAGGGGCAGCUAAGUAAGGAAGCGUGCGGAGCACUGGAUCUGGAGUCAGGAAGGCUCAUUUUCCCGAGUUCAGAUCUGGCCUCUGACACUCACUAGCUCAGCGACCCUGGGCAAGUCACUUCACCCUGUUUGCCUCAGUUUCCUCAUCUGCAAAUUGAACCGGAGAAGGAAAUGGCCAACCACUCCGGUAUAUCUGCUAAGAAAACCCCGAAUGGUUUCAUGAAGAGUUGGACACGAUUGAAAUGACCUAUCCUUUUCUGCCUUUGUGGGGAAGUUGAUAUUUAGAACAUUUUUAUUUUCUAAUAUUUAAUCUAUUCACUAUAUGAUGACUAUC